Molecule: long non-coding RNA, 2539 nt
Filed under: Homo sapiens (human)
Lineage: Eukaryota; Metazoa; Chordata; Mammalia; Primates; Hominidae
Description: HSALNT0278515
Source: RNAcentral
GUGCGUUUGCUUUCUUGGGGUCUGUCACCUCUAUGGCCCCCCUGCUUCUGUUCACCCUGUCUGUGUGCAUGCCCUUUGCCAGGGGGGGCUUUGUGGCAGCUCCCACUACAGAAGCUGAGAGUAUUUCCCCGCCCCUUGGCUUUGGAUUCCGCCAUAUGUCAUGCUUUGGCCAGUGGAAUGUGGGUAAUUACAAUGUGAUGGAAGGAUGAAGGAGCAUUUGCGUAAUUGGGCAAGCCCUCUUGCACCUACACCAUUGCCUUAGAAGACAGGCUCUGGCCAUCACACAGGACCAAGGAGGAGAAUGACAGAGAUGAAGAGCAGAGUCAUCCUAGCGAAGAUGGCAGAGCUUAGCCCAGCCUAGAUCAGCCCCCACAGCUGUGAAAACUGAAUGAAUGGAUGUUAUUGUUUCGUGGCCCUGAGGGUUUAUGGUUGCUUGUUACAUAGUGAUAGCUGACUGCUACAGUUCUGGGUUUCUAUUGAGUAAGAAGUAAAAAGGGAUGAGCUUAGAAUACAGACAGGACAAGUAAGCUGUUGAGCACAGAUGGCUUUUUAGGCAUCAGUGUUCCACGAAAUGGACAUAUUGCAAAGGGGCUUUGUGGCCCUUGGUGAGUAUCCAAGAUGGCGGUCACCCACCCUAGAACAACAGGUUGUGACAAAGUGGUUAGCAAGGUCCAUCUAGCUGCUAGACUAGAAAUAUAUCUGCAUAUUAAUGUAAUUAUGAAGUUUAUAAUUAGCUCAUCUGACUGUAUGAUUCAUAUACUAAGUUUUGUUCUGAAUACUUACAGAGACAAUUAUAUGGUUUUUUUCUAUGAUUCCUUACAGGAGAAAAAAAAAAAGUCCUGAAACUUCACACAGAAUAAGAACUCAGCAGUGAAUAAAUGAAUGCUAAAAAUAACAACAGCAGGAAAACUGCCUGUCAAAAAAAAAAAAAAGAUAAAACAUUAAAAAAUCCAGAUGAAAAUAAAGUGGAAGCUCUGAGGAAGCUGCCUGCUACAGACCUCGCUGCCGGAUCAAGAAACGGACGCUGGCCUCCGAAGGGCUCAGCACAUGCCUGAGGGGAGCCUCUGGUGCAUCAGGAGGUCAGGCCCAGGUUAUUGCCUGAUGGGAGUAGAUACUCCAGCACGCUGUUUGCACAAGUGAGGCAGUUUCACCAGAUUUCCAGGCGCAGUUCCAGGCUUUCUGGUGGCAUAACUGCUGCCCAGGCGUGGGAUCUCUUACCACACAAGGAUUCCUUCUGGGCAAUGAACAACAGCUAAUCCGAAGAUUCCAGAACUUCCUUUGCAAAGGCCAUCAGUCAAGUCAAGCUUCAAGUGAAUUCAACCAGUGCUUACUGAAAACUGACCCCAGAGUACCAGUGGCCUUCCUUCCUGCGUCUCCUUUACCCAGGCACUGAGCUGGGGAACAGGGAAUCUUCUCUGGUCCUCACAUCACCCUGAGAGGCAGCCGUGGCUCUCCCUGCUGUAUAGACAAAGUAAGUGGGGCUCAGUUCCAAGCUCCUGCCAGCAGGUGCUGGAGAUGGAGAUUGUCUGACUCCAAAGCCAUGCUCCUCCGAUUUCACCCAAGUCCAACCACCUACCACAUGUGCAAGAACACAGAAGCCUCCUGAAAAUCCCAACUCAGCAACACUGACCAGGGCUCAUGAUGUUCCAACCACCUACCACAUGUGCAAGAACACAGAAGCCUCCUGAAAAUCCCAACUCAGCAACACUGACCAGGGCCCAUGAUGUGCCAGGCACACUCACAGGCAGGAGCAACAGAGCAGUGAGCCAAAACCCCCACUCCUGAAGAAGCUCAUGUUUUGAGACGCCCACCCAGUUUCCUCCUCUGCAAAUGAGGCUCAUUGUCCCCACCACAAGCCUGAACCCCAGGGCCUGGCCCAGAGCCAGGCACACAUUCUCAUUCUCACUUGCUGAGUGUUGAGUGUUGAGAUUCGUCCAGUCCAGUGCAGCAUCCUGAGCCAGAACAUAAGCAGCCACACUAUAAGUUACCUUCCUGGGUGUGUGAUGACAGUUAAGAUGCUGGUAACAUCUGUAUUUUGGAUUUUCUCUGCAAGACUUAUUUGGGACAAUACGUUCUUGGAUUGGUACCUGGCUUCUUGAUAGGAUCAUGACCUCAUAGAAUCACUGGUGCGACUCAACUCUGAUGCUUAAUUGAUCCACAAAUGGUUGUCGUGGCUCUGGAGGGACCAAAUGAAUGGGGAGCCUGCCUGGGCUGGUUGCACCGUUGUCCAUUUAGUUUGAAUAUAUAGAGGGCUUCCCGUGGAGGCUAGGAAUCAAGAAGAAUCCUGAUCCGGGUUCAGGGGAAUGAGGCGGGAGUGCUCUGAGGAUGCCGGAGUGGUGAUUAACACAAGGCAGGUGCUGGAGGAGGUGAGCAGUGUCCCCCGCACCAUGCAUUUCCAUGGGGCCUGGCUGAGGUCCUGCCAUGGGGUGUGCUGCAUAGGGCUGGGGCACAAGGGAGAAUGAGACCUCAUCCCUGCCCUUGGGGACAUGGGACUCCCAGGUUUGAGAAAAUUCAACCACACAAAUUAAAACGAUUACGA